CCUACGGGAGGCAGCAGUAGGGAAUAUUGCUCAAUGGGGGAAACCCUGAAGCAGCAACGCCGCGUGGAGGAUGAAGGUCUUCGGAUUGUAAACUCCUUUUGUUAGAGAAGAUAAUGACGGUAUCUAACGAAUAAGCACCGGCUAACUCCGUGCCAGCAGCCGCGGUAAUACGGAGGGUGCAAGCGUUACUCGGAAUCACUGGGCGUAAAGAGCGCGUAGGCGGGAUGGCAAGUCAGAUGUGAAAUCCUAUGGCUUAACCAUAGAACUGCAUUUGAAACUGUUAGUCUAGAGUAUGGGAGAGGUAGGUGGAAUUCUUGGUGUAGCGGUAAAAUGCGUAGAUAUCAAGAGGAAUACUGAUUGCGAAGGCGACCUGCUAGAACGUAACUGACGCUGAUGCGCGAAAGCGUGGGGAGCAAACAGGAUUAGAUACCCCGGUAGUC
RNAcentral lists this ribosomal RNA (440 nucleotides) under uncultured bacterium. RNAcentral describes it as "partial 16S ribosomal RNA". It matches the Rfam family "Bacterial small subunit ribosomal RNA", at positions 338 to 795 of the family's 1533-position model. The record is from RNAcentral.